RNAcentral lists this long non-coding RNA (720 nucleotides) under Elaeis guineensis (African oil palm). RNAcentral describes it as "long non-coding RNA (EGUI_LNC023705)". Lineage: Eukaryota; Viridiplantae; Streptophyta; Magnoliopsida; Arecales; Arecaceae. The record is from RNAcentral.
UGAGUGCACUGGUCAAUAGGCUUAUUAGCUAAGGAUUCACUUACACCAACUAUUGUACCCUCUGUUUAGGGGUUCACUGAUGCCAACCAUAUACCCGCUGGCUAGGGUUGACCAAUUUUACACCUGAUGGUUAGGUGUUCACUGAAAGCAAAAUGCCAACAGAGUCAAUAUAGAUAUUAAAAGAAACAAAUUGACAUAUUAAUCCAGCAAUCAUAAUAUAGAGAUGCAGAAUAUAUUUACAAAAAUCUAAUAGAAAAUUAAACAAUAUCAACAUUCAGCAAUAUGCAGAAUAAAGGAUAAUUGAGUAGAAAUAGAAGAGGAAGACGAGAGAAAUUGAUAGAAAUAGAAAGAAAAGAGGGAGGAGGAAAGAAGGAAAUCCAGCCAAACCUGGCUCUUGUCUUCAGAUGGAAAAAUCACAUACUCCAUUGUUUUAUGAAUGACCUAAAAAGUCACAUUAUAUAAACUAAUUAACAGCUGACCUUUCUUAAUUUUGAGUCCAAUUAGGACUCAAUUACAUCAGCCAAUAACUUUUCCCAAAUUUCCUCGAUGCCCCAACUAGUUAGCUACUUGUGUGGCACUUAUAAAGUUAUAGUGACCCCUAAUGACCCCUGGUAUUGUAGCACAGCACUGAUCAUGCUAUGGUGAUGUGAACAGUAACAAAUCCCUUAAUUUGAUCAAAAUACUCUUCCUAAACUACCCCUAAACUCAAUUAAAUGCCAA